RNAcentral lists this ribosomal RNA (520 nucleotides) under uncultured Glomeromycotina. RNAcentral describes it as "SSU rRNA". It matches the Rfam family "Eukaryotic small subunit ribosomal RNA", at positions 569 to 1090 of the family's 1831-position model. The record is from RNAcentral. Lineage: Eukaryota; Fungi; Glomeromycota.
AGCAGCCGCGGUAAUUCCAGCUCCAAUAGCGUAUAUUAAAGUUGUUGCAGUUAAAAAGCUCGUAGUUGAAUUUCGGGAUCAGUACGCUGGUCGUGCCUUCGGUAUGUACUGGUGUUACUGGUUCCUACCUUCUGACGAACCGUCAUGUAAUUAAUUUGGUGUGGCGGGGAAUCAGGACUGUUACUUUGAAAAAAUUAGAGUGUUUAAAGCAGGCUCGCGCUUGAAUACAUUAGCAUGGAAUAAUGAAAUAGGACGUUCGAUCCUAUUUUGUUGGUUUCUAGGAUUGACGUAAUGAUUAAUAGGGAUAGUUGGGGGCACUAGUAUUCAAUUGUCAGAGGUGAAAUUCUUGGAUUUAUUGAAGACUAACUACUGCGAAAGCAUUUGCCAAGGAUGUUUUCAUUAAUCAAGAACGAAAGUUAGGGGAUCGAAGACGAUCAGAUACCGUCGUAGUCUUAACCAUAAACUAUGCCGACUAGGGAUCGGAUGAUGUUAAUUUUUUAAUGACUCAUUCGGCGCCUUA